This is a non-coding RNA of Sus scrofa (pig), 3646 nucleotides long. The record is from RefSeq and is a predicted model, not a curated record. NCBI's taxonomy places the organism in Eukaryota, Metazoa, Chordata, Mammalia, Artiodactyla, Suidae.
AUUCGCACGUGGCCCUUUCGGAGGCACAUUGUGUCUGCGAGCGCUGGUGUAACUGCUGGCAUUGCCUUUCCAGCUUCCAGUAUGAAGCGGCCGAAGUUAAAGAAAUCAAGUAAACGCAUGACCUGCCAUAAGCGGUAUAAAAUCCAAAAAAAGGUACGAGAGCACCAUCGAAAAUUGAGGAAAGAGGCUAAAAAACGAGGUCGAAAGAAGCCUAGGAAAGACCCAGGAAUUCCAAAUAGUGCUCCUUUUAAGGAGGCUCUUCUUCGGGAAGCUGAGCUAAGGAAACAGCGGCUUGAAGAACUGAAACAGCAGCAGAAACUUGAGAGGCAGAAGGAACAGGACAAGAAAAGAAAACUUGAAACUAAUCCUGGUGUUGAGCUGUCUCACAAGGUUCUUGUGAAAGAGGAAUUUGGGCGAUCUAAAGCUAAGAAAGCCAAGUCAAGCAAACAGAAUCCAAAGAAGUUGUACUGUCAGGAACUUAAAAAGGUAUCUUAGUCUAGGUCAGUGCCUAAAAAUGGUAAUGAUGUUUGAAAGACUAUUGUCAUUUUUUUUUUUUUCCUUAUGACACCAACCUUGCAAAGGUAGAAGUAGGGUUCUCUGGAGCUGGAAGACUCCUCCAGCAAGCUGGCUUACUCUGUUAUGUUUGGCUGAAGGACAUAUUCUUGUUGUUUUAAAUUUUUUCGUGGGAACAAUUUACCGUAAGCAUGAUUUACAAAAGUGGCAUUUUAUAAAGUAACAUGUGUUGACACAGUGGUUUUUUAAAUGUAGAACAAUACAUUAAGAGUAGCAGUGUAGGAGUUCCCCUCAUGGCUCAGUGGUUAACGAAUCCGACUAGGAACCACGAGGUUGCAGGUUCCAUCUCUGGCCUUGCUCAGUGGGUUAAGGAUCUGGCAUUGCUGUGAGCUGUGGUAUAGGUUGCACACGCAGCUCAGAUCGCACGUUGCUGUGGCUCUGGUGUAGGCCGUCAGCUACAGCUCAGAUUAGACUCCUAGCCUGGGAACCUCCAUAAGCCACAGGAGCAGCCUAGAAAUGGCAAAAAAAAAAAAAGGCAGUGCAAAAAAAUAUAAGAAUCUGUUAAAGUACAAUGCUAAAACCAAAGUGAGGGGAUUUCAAGGGGAUGGCUUGUUAUAGUACUCCCAAUGUCUGUUUUCCUAAGCUCAUUCCCAUCUGUGACUAGGCUGCUUAUCAGGUCUUGGCCACAAAGGCUAAUCAAUCUAUAUAAUUUACAAGGAGAGGAUUACAUGUUUAGAUAGUUUGACUGUUUCCACUCUUGAAAUCCACUUUGAUCAAAGGCAACUGAAACAAACCUGUUUUAUUUUCAUAUAAGAAAUGGUGAAUGUGUUAGCUUGAUAACCCAAGUGAAGACAAGAGAUUUAACUCUGAGUUUACUUUGUUACAAAGUAGACAAUGCUGAUGUACUUAUGUGGAGGGUAGUGCCAGAGCAGGGGGUGCUGUUCUGAUAGCUUCUGCUUUGACAGGUGAUCGAAGCCUCAGAUGUUGUGCUGGAGGUAUUAGACGCCAGAGAUCCUCUUGGUUGCAGGUGUCCCCAGGUGGAAGAAGCCAUUGUCAAGGGUAGACAGAAAAGGCUAGUACUUGUACUAAAUAAGUCAGGUAAGCAAAAAUAAUUGCCCUUUUAUGUUCCAUAUGCACUAUUGAGGUGUGAGGAAAACAUCUGAACAGUCUGAUUGUGUCUGAAGACUGAUAAGAUCCAACUCUGACCUCAGCAAAACCAGUGCAUAUGUGUGUGCUCUUGUUAACAAAGACAGUGCUAGAUAGUAGGCUGGAAAUGUUUUCUAGAAGUGAUUUAUGUGGUUUGUAAUUUUUUUUUUUUUUUGCUAUUGAAUAUUUAAAACUACUUUGUCUUAUUUAAGAGUGUAAGCUUUUAUACUGUGCAGUAUUUUUCACAUAGGAAGUGAUGACAGUGUUCCGUAUUCCCCACACCUGCACAAUGUCAACCUGGCAUUAUUUAAAUGAAAUACAUAGUUUUGUAUCUGGGUUUGGGCAGAAGGGACAAGAACACCCAGAAAAGAGAUUUGUGAAGCACAGAGUAAGCUAGAAUCUAAAAUUACUCUUGGAGUCAGUAAACAUGGCUGCUCCCUAAGAGUAAAUUCUGGAAACAGAGCCCUAAGGUUAGUAGGGUAAUAAUUUAGAGGUUGGCUUAAUCCUGAAAGGGUGAGCAGUGCAGAAGGGAAUUGAAGAAAUACAGAGGUGUAGGUACUGAGUUCUGUUAACAGAAGCAUGAUGGGGAGCUGACUGCCUCCCCAUUAGUUUAGAUACUUGUGAAAAAACUGGGGAAAGAUAAUCCUGAGUGAAAUCCGGAGCUUUCCAAACACUGCAAAUUCACCUCAACAAAAUGAUCAAAUUGGAGCAGUGUUUUAUUCUUAAUUCCUAUCAGAUUUGGUACCAACGGAAAAUUUGGAGAACUGGCUAAAUUAUUUGAAGAAAGAGUUGCCAACAGUUGUAUUCAAAGCCUCAACUGAUCUGAAGGACAAAGGGAAGAGAAUCAAGGAAAGGAAGAAAGUUGCUCCAUUCAAAACUGAAGUUUGUGUUGGUAAAGAAGGCCUUUGGAAGCUUCUUGGAGGUUUUCAGGAGAUUUAUGGCAAAGCCAUUUGCGUUGGGGUUAUUGGUUUCCCAAAUGUGGGGAAAAGCAGCAUCAUCAAUAGCUUAAAACAAGAACGGAUAUGUAAUGUUGGUGUAUCCAUGGGGCUUACAAGGUGCAUGCAGGUUGUCCCCUUGGACAAACAAAUCACACUCAUAGAUAGUCCAGGUUUCAUUGCAUCUCCACUGAACUCUGCUUCUGCACUUGCUUUGAGAAGUCCAGCAAGUAUUGAAGUAAUAAAACCAAUGGAGGCUGCUAGCGCCAUUCUGUCCCAUGCUGAUGCUCGACAGGUAGUACUGAAAUUUACUGUCCCAGACUUUGAGAAUUCGCUGGAAUUUUUCACUUCUUUUGCUCAGAGAAGAGGACUGCACCAAAAAGGUGGAAGUCCAAAUGUAGAAGGUGCUGCCAAACUGCUGUGGUCUGAGUGGACAGGGUUACUAUUGUCACCCCCCUACAUCCUGGACUCUUUCUUCACAUUUUAAUGAAAGCAUUGUGACAGACAUGAAAUGGGGCUUUAAUCUGGAAGAAUUAGAAAAGAAUAAUGCACGCAGCAUACAAGCUAUCAAGGGUCCUCGUUUAGCCGGGAGCAUCCUUUUCCAGUCUUCAGGUUUGACAAAUGGAAUAAUAGAGGAAGGGGACAUACCUGAAGAACCCCUGAAACAGAAAGAACAGAAGCAAGAGGAGGGGGAGGACUAUGGAGAUGUUGACACCGACCAAGAAAGUGUUGACAAAGAAGGUGAUGAAAAGAGCUCAGACACAUCACCUGCAGAAGAGGCCUUUGAGGCUGUGCCCAAGGGGUCUCAAGCAGGUGAGCAGUCUGCACUUUCUUUUGUCAUGGAAAAGAUGACUGAGGAAGAUGAUGCUUAUGACUUCAGUACAGACUACAUGUUAUAGAACCUCAUUCUUCUAUAAGGGUUUUUUGCUUGUUCUUAAUAUUGUGGACAGACUGUCAAGCUGUUCUGUAUGUUAUACCAGUAUGACAUGAACUGUGUAGAAAAUAUUUUGUGAAUAUGUGUAACAAUAAAUAGAAAUCAAGUAACUCAAAAA